RNAcentral lists this long non-coding RNA (363 nucleotides) under Lathyrus oleraceus (garden pea). Its description in RNAcentral is "Pisum sativum (pea) long non-coding RNA (PSAT_LNC024569)". Lineage: Eukaryota; Viridiplantae; Streptophyta; Magnoliopsida; Fabales; Fabaceae. The record is from RNAcentral.
GACUUAAGUCCGUGGUGGAAAGCGCGUUGAUGACCACUUGAUCUGCCACCUCAAUUAAUGAGGGAGAUCAAGUGGUCCACGUUUUUUUUGUAUUUUCUGAUUUUUGUUUUAUUCUUUUGAUUUUAAUUAAUUCAUAUUAAUUUUAAUAUUAAUCCAAAAAAUAUGAAUUUCCAUGGCCAUUUCGUUGUUUUUUGAUGAGGUUUUAGGAAUUUGACAAACCAUAUUUAAUUUAAUGCAUUAUUUUUAGUAUUUUUUAAUUGAAUAAAUGCAAAAUAAUUGUGUUGAGCCAUUUUGAUUGUUUGUAUGAGUUUGACUUGUGUUGUUGGGCCUUGGUCAAGGUUCAUUUGACUUUGCUAGGUUAAG